GGCGUUGUUUCAGAUGUCGCACCACAGCUGUGGCUCGUGCAGUGACGGCCAUGAUGAGUGCAUGUGAUGCCUGGGGAAGUCCCACGCUGAAGCCGCGCUCAUCGACACGACCUGUCCACAUUGCCUGGACAUGAGUCUGGCCUCUCUGUGCUCGCUGAGAACUUUAUUUUCAGGAAGCGACUCCGCCCCUCGCGCCCUCCCGUUUCUCUCCUCCCAGGAGCCUGUGAUGAAGAAACAGCGUGGCAGAGGAUCCCAGUGCUCGGAUAAGAUUCGAGCUCACGUCGGCUCAAGGCUCGCGUAAAUCGGUCUCUCUUCAGAGAGAGUUUUCGCGCGUCUACCUCUCCCACCUAGACCAGCGUCCUUCUGUUUGCGAACGACCUGGUCUCAUUUGGUGGGUCCGAAGAUGAGCCACUAGAUAACAGCAUGUCAUUAGCGGCCUCAGAUGCUGAGGAUUGGUCGGACUCGACUCAGGACCUCGUCCCCUUGCAGUCUACCCAGCCGGUCGACGCCAGGACUUCUGUGGACACCGAGCUGAUCCGUGUCCGAGCUGAUCUCGGGCUGGAGUGGUCUGCGCAUGAGGAGCCCUCACGCAGCCGACUAGAAGAGUGGUUCCUGCCGGGAUGCCGCCAGGCCCUCUUCCCAGAGGGCUGCACCCUUCUUCCCUGAGGUCCACGAGGAGCUCACGAAGUCGUGGCACGCCCCUUACUCUGCCCGCCUCAAAACAUCUGCCUCUCACGCCCUCACUGUGGUUGACGGCAUGGGGCAGAAGGGCUAUGAGAAGAUCCCUCGCCAUGGUGUGCUUCGCCACUGCACACCAUGGCGGUGCUUCAAGUGUACCAGGCCAAGCUCCUCCGCACCAUGGACGAAGUGGGGCACAACCUGGCCACAUUUAAGGAGUUGCGCAGUGCUACGGACCUGGCCCUGUGUGCUACUAAGGCCACUGCUCAGGCAUGACAGGCCAUUCCCGGAGUGUCAGAACAGGUAUUGAAAACAAUAAAAUGAGGUUACGUACUGCAAUUUGCUCAGAGGCCCCCGUUAUUCAAUGGCAUGGUACUUUCCUCUGUGACAGGUAAGGAUGUGCAUGUCCUUUUCUCAGAUGUAAAAUCUAUGCUGGCGAAAAGGGCCACUCAGGAUCAAUUUUUCCAAGAGCUCGUUGCUCCCCAGCCAUUGUAUCAUGUUCCUUAUUAUGUAUUACCGCUAUUACAUUUUGAAUAUGGAUAUUUCUCUUACAAAAAUG
Cyprinus carpio carpio is the source of this 1237-nucleotide long non-coding RNA. The record is from Ensembl. Lineage: Eukaryota; Metazoa; Chordata; Actinopteri; Cypriniformes; Cyprinidae.